GCCUAAGUAACUUAAAGUUAAAAUGUCGGUCUUGUAAAUCGAAUAUGACGGUUAAAUUCCAUCCUUAGGCU
This 71-nucleotide transfer RNA is filed under the name Polypterus endlicherii congicus. RNAcentral's name for it is "tRNA-Thr". It matches the Rfam family "tRNA". Rfam says of the family: Transfer RNA (tRNA) molecules are approximately 80 nucleotides in length. Lineage: Eukaryota; Metazoa; Chordata; Cladistia; Polypteriformes; Polypteridae. The record is from RNAcentral.